Long non-coding RNA from Oreochromis aureus, 4101 nucleotides. RefSeq lists it as uncharacterized. The transcript is spliced from 3 exons. The record is from RefSeq and is a predicted model, not a curated record. Lineage: Eukaryota; Metazoa; Chordata; Actinopteri; Cichliformes; Cichlidae.
CUCUACAUAUUUUAAUCUCAUCUGAUUUUCUCUAAAGGAAGGUCUUUAAUACGUGUCUUUUUUUACAGGAUAGCUGGAAACAGGAUAAGCUGUAGGGCCAUCCUGCCAUGACUUCCGCUCUGCCUUAAGAACUCUAAGAGUUAAGCUGUGUAAUAUGUCAGAAAAUUCCCCAACAGAUUUUCAUUUGGUCCUCAUAAUAACAUCAGCGACCCGCCAGCCAAUGAUCCGCCCAGUGUAAGUUUGGAGGUCACGUAAGUUUGGUCACGCUAUUGGAGAUUACAGCAGUAUCUCCAGACAAAUAAAAUAUACAGGAUUAUGUAGUACAUACAGUACAAAUGAAAAUACAUAUGUGCUCUCUCAUACUGAUUAUUAUUGUUGGAUAAAACCCUGAGGGACACAUCGGAUCUUUAUACAGCAUUGACUGAAUUCUCUGAAGAGACGGACAGAUUUCUAAUGUAAUCAAGAUCGUGGGUUUUUCACUGAUCCCACUGGCUGAAGCCCUUUGAGGAAGGAUGUGUGUGUUAGCAGCAAAUUCAGUAAAUGCACAAUGCUGUUUUACAUGGAAUCAAAUAUAUUCUGACAUGUGACACUCAGGUAAUAAAUGCAUUUAAAUCAUGUAGGUCUAGAUCUCUUCACAGAUCUCUGCGGCAGCAGACAAACAUGUAAGUAAAUGUGGAAACUUUUGAUUAGCUGUUUUUAUUUCUUCAGAAAGUUGGAAUGAUCGUAUAGCUGUUGGUAUUUGGAAGCUCUGCACACUGACUCACCUGCAGUAAUACAUAAACCAAAACGUGCAACGAUAUUAUACAUCUUUAUGAAUACAGUGUCCCCCCCAAAAAAGCCUCCUCUUCAUUUAUUUUAAAUGUACUAUGACACAGUGAGGACUUUGAGGCAGAUUCUUAGACAGAUAAAGAGAUGGACGUCAAAUCAAGCAAAGAUUUUACUGACAUACAAUUCAUUAUCAGUGCACUGAUCUCACAAAUCAAAUAUGUAAGAAGAUACAAAGAGGGGACUUUGUAAAUAAACUUGCUACAGGUCUAGAUAUGUCCAUGUUGCCAUGACAGUGAGAAUUAAUGACAUCAUAAAUUCUUGAGCUGCUAUUUAACAAUAUGACAGAGUAGUUUUUCUAGAAGCAGAACAGCAGUCUCCUAGGCUGAAAAGUGACAAUGUGAAAAGAAUUAAUUUCAGUGAGUCACUCCCAAAAGACUGCCAUGUUAUUUCCCUUAUUUAACCAGGAAGUCCCACUGAGAUCAAAUCACGUUACAAGGGCUAGCCAAAGUAGAAGCCAUACUACCUCAAAGUAUUAAAAGUACAGCAAAUACAACACAAAAUACAAGAUCUACAAAUAGCCACAACAAAACAACACUACUGUCCUCUCAAGAAAAACAUCAUGCCACACAUGUCUACUUUACCACGGUCCUCAUUACACCUGUACAUCCAACAGCACAUAUUUAGAGUAAAGAGUUUAAGGGCUUCCUGAAAAUUAUUCCAUGUCCAAGGUCUGUAUGAAAAUGCCUUUCCCCCCUGAUCUGUCAGAAAACUCGGCACACUGAAAGCAGCUGUUUGGAGUAACACAGCUGGAAACUGUUGGAACUGCAACAGAGAAGGUUGCAAAGGUAAACUUUAUGUAGCAGCGACACAGACACUUGGCAUGUGUCAAAAAUGUAGAGAUGCAUUAAACACCGAAUAAAGACUGAAUGUUUACCGCCAUAAUCAAGCACAGGCGCAAAGCUGGUUCCACAUGUUUUUUUUUUAGAGAAGAAAAUAAAACAAUAUGAAAACAUUCAACUUUACUUACAGUUUGACAUCAGUACCUAAUCUAAUUUUUAUCUGCCAUACAGGGCAGAGGGUUUUUUUAAGUGUUUGAAGACUUUGAAGACUUUUUAUUAUGGAAAAUUUUAUUUAGAACAAGGCAGUUAAAAGGCACUGAAGUGAGGGAUGUGAGACAGUUUGUACAGUACUGGGAAAUAUUUAUUUGCCAGACAUUCAGUACACGGCGUCUGGUUCAUACCAAGUUAUUUUUCAUUUUGUCUUUGGAUAUGAAAUCAGAAAAUGACCCAUUGCUCUCUAAACAUCUCAUUUUUCAAACUAAGCCUUCCCAACAUCUUCUCACAGGCAACAGGGGUCUUCAAGGAAAGACGUCCAGACGCGUUUCUUUCCAAGCUGCAGAGACUACGAUGACCUGGAUGGCUGAGAACCUUCACAGACACAGGCAACAAUGUUCAUCAUCUGUUCAGGCUACAUCUGUCCAGGUUUGAGAUUCUUUGAGAGAAAACUUAAAAAUGAGUCUAGCACAAGUCACUAAACCAACCAUCAAUGGUGUUGCUACAUACUAAAUCAGCUGUGAUAGGACACCCCUGUCGCCAAGGAGACACAGUCUUGGUGACCUGGGCAAAUCCCACUUCAAUCGUUGGCCUGUAUAAUUCAGAACAUCUCUUCAAAAAUGAGAAAACUUCCCCUAGUGCAUGCACAUUCAUCUCUCUUUCUGUAUGAAAUUGAUUAAAGUUAUGCCUGAUUAAAGGUGUAGCCACAGGUUGAUGCCAGUACAGGCAGCUAUCUGCAAGACGUCUUGAUGCAUGCUCAAUCAUCAGUCAAACGCUAUGUCCAGAUGAACAGAAUCAACCUUUUAGGUCAAUCUGCAAGACUUAAGUUCAGUGAAUAACUUCACUGCGCCGAUCUCAUGUUCUUGUUGGUUUAGGGUUGCAGGGGUGGGGGAUGUUUGGGGCACCCUGGAAAGGUCAUGAGUCUUUCACUGGGCUAUCACAUAGAGAUAGACAUGGGCAAUCAGAAUCAGCAAUUAACCAAACCGCACUAAAUGCAUGCCUUUGGACUGUGGGAGGAAGGUGGAGCAUCAGGAGAGAACCCACGCAGACACGGGGAGAACAUGCAAACUCCACACAGAAAGACCCCGGACAGAAGGUGGAGUCAAACUCAAGACCUUGCUGAGAGGCCUCAAUUUAUCACUGUGCCACCUUGCUGCCCUUAUUUAUUUAUUUUUACUUAUUCUUCAAGAGUCCACAAACCAAUAGCUGACUUAAGAAGGGCAGCAGUCUUUGCUCCAAACACCAAACAUAUGACCCUAUUUUAAAUGUAAUAGACACAUUUGCUACUAAUAAAGUGAAAAUUCUCAACCAACAGAGCCCCGCAUUUACAAAAAAAAUCCAAAAUAUAUCAAAUGUGUGAAAGAAAAAAAAUCGUAUAGUUAAAUCAAAGACUAAAACUCAAUGUGAUGUUUUUGAAAUGUUACACAUGGCACCUGAAAACAAUACCUGGUGUCAUUUUUUCUUGCUGUUUACUGCUGUUACAGUGCUGACAGUUAUCAUUAGCUUCAAAACAAAGAAUAGAUGAGACUGAGCGAUGCUGAUGGUGUCAGAGCUUGACAGGUUUUGUAGCCUGGACUGAAGGGCUGAUAUCAGUGACUGUGUUUCUUUCCAGCAGAGAAGGGGGGGGGUAUUAGAAGGAGGCAGUGCAGGGUUGUAGAUGAGGCCAACCUUCGCCCAAGGCCUUGCUCAGGCGAGUGAGAUGAUGGAGGCUGUUCCAGCCAACUGUCCGAACAGGAUUUGGGAGAAGUGCAAGUCAAUGAGGAAGAGGCGAUACUAGUGAGAGCGACACACGGAGGGUUCAGGAAUUAUUUUUGCUGGUGCCGAUUGCUUUAAAUCAGAAGAGAAAAAAGCAUUGUAAUUGUAAUUCAUCUAUCAUAGGCACAGAAACAGCAGUCUCUAAAGCUCUUUCAUUAACCUCACUAAAUUCUUGGUUGUUUAAAUAUUGCCUGGGUGGCGGUGACUCAGAUGGCAAAGCGGGUCGUCUAUUAUCUGAUCCCUGGCACAGACACAUGCCGAAGGCGCCUCGCAUGGCAGCUCUGCCACCUUUGGUGUGUGAGUGUGUGUGAAUGAGAAACAAACUGCAAAAACAUUUACAGUAAUUACACAAACAAAAAUGUAAAUGUGAUUCUGAUUUUAGGGACAGUCUGUAUUUUGAUGCAUUUCCAAAGCCAUACUCUGUCCAUCUACUAUACUGUAGCAGGUUUUUGAGUUAUUAAUAAGUAGUAACUUAAUAGUCAAAUGUUUAAACAAUUAUAAGUAGUUUUUAGUAAUCACUUGGAAG